This 301-nucleotide ribosomal RNA is filed under the name uncultured bacterium. RNAcentral describes it as "partial 16S ribosomal RNA". It matches the Rfam family "Bacterial small subunit ribosomal RNA", at positions 509 to 807 of the family's 1533-position model. The record is from RNAcentral.
CAGCCGCCACGGUAAUACGAAGGGGGCUAGCGUUGUUCGGAUUUACUGGGCGUAAAGCGCACGUAGGCGGACUUUUAAGUCAGGGGUGAAAUCCCGGGGCUCAACCCCGGAACUGCCUUUGAUACUGGGAGUCUUGAGUUCGAGAGAGGUGAGUGGAAUUGCGAGUGUAGAGGUGAAAUUCGUAGAUAUUCGCAGGAACACCAGUGGCGAAGGCGGCUCACUGGCUCGAUACUGACGCUGAGGUGCGAAAGCGUGGGGAGCAAACAGGAUUAGAUACCCCCGUAGUCCCUGUCUCUUAUAC